Molecule: ribosomal RNA, 441 nt
Filed under: uncultured Spirochaetota bacterium
Lineage: Bacteria; Pseudomonadati; Spirochaetota
Description: bacterial SSU rRNA
Rfam family: Bacterial small subunit ribosomal RNA
Source: RNAcentral
GGGCCCGCACAAGCGGUGGAGCAUGUUGUUUAAUUCGAUGAUACGCGAGGAACCUUACCUGGGUUUGACAUACAGAGUAAUAAGUUAGAGAUAACUUAGCCGCUUGCGGACUCUGAACAGGUGCUGCAUGGCUGUCGUCAGCUCGUGCCGUGAGGUGUUGGGUUAAGUCCCGCAACGAGCGCAACCCUUGUUUUCAGUUACCAUCAUUAAGUUGGGGACUCUGAAGAGACUGCCGGCGACGAGCCGGAGGAAGGUGGGGAUGAUGUCAAGUCAGCAUGGCCUUUAUAUCCAGGGCUACAAACGUGCUACAAUGGCCAGUACAAAGUGAAGCAAAGCCGUGAGGUGGAGCGAACCACAGAAAGCUGGGUCUCAGUUCGGAUUACAGUCUGAAACUCGACUGUAUGAAGUUGGAAUCGCUAGUAAUCGCAUAUCAGAAUGAUG